GGAGAGAGGAAGAGAGAGAGAGAGAGAGAGAGAGAGAGAGAGAGAGAGAGAGAGAGAGAGAGAGAGAGAGAGAGAGAGAGAGAGAGAGAGAGAGAGAGAGAGAGAGAGAGAGAGAGAGAGAGAGAGAGAGAGAGAGAGAGAGAGAGAGAGAGAGAGAGAGAGAGAGAGAGAGAGAGAGAGAGAGAGAGAGAGAGAGAGAGAGAGAGAGAGAGAGAGAGGAGAGAGAGAGAGAGAGAGAGAGAGAGAGAGAGAGAAGAGAGAGAGAGAGAGAGAGAGAGAGAGAGAGAGAGAGAGAGAGAGAGAGAGAGAGAGAGACAGAAGUAGGAGACGACAGGAUGACAGAUUAUCCCUUGGGGCACCCAUAAACUGAGAGGGCUAAAAAAAAAAAAAAAAAAAAAAUAAAAUAAAUAAUAAAUAAAAAUGCUUCACCCUAUAUCCCUGAUGGGGAAGGAAAUGGAUUAGGGCUUUGGAGGAGGAGAAUGUGGGACGAUUAUUGGCCAUGAAAGAUUUGAAGGCACCAUUGGUAAAAGUAGUGGGAACCACUAAGUGUCAGAUAAAGAUGAUGUAAAUUGUUACAACCGGGCCGACAAAAGACUACAAACAUGGCCGCCGCUCACAAACUUACCGGCUACAGCGCCAUCUUCAGGUUGGAUGCCGUCAUGACCGAGGGUAUGCAGGCCCCUCAGCAAAUGUUACCCACUUAAGGUGAACCCCAAGGAACAAAGGGGAAUGAAAAGGUGGAGAGUUGAAAAUGAACAAGAAAAAGAAGGCAUGUGGACAUUAUAUUAUGAACUAUUGUGGUGGAAGUCAUUCUUCUUAAAGUCAAGCAGAAUUGAAGGAGGUGGUGGGAUUGUCAUUUAUUUCCAACCCCCGAUUCAGCAAACAGUUGGUCUCUGCGGUCAAUGUCAAUGAACAAAGCCCCUGGUUGAAAAGACUGAAAUAAGUGAUGAACUGACACAAGUGAGUCCUAUGAGGGAACCAAGCGGGGCCAGAGAAUUACAUGCCAAUAAUACAUGUCUUGGGGAACUUUUCCUCAAAGUCCUAUCAGGAGUGAAAUUAAUCUGGAGAUUAUAAGCCCUAACUGGACUGGGGUCCCCAAGAGAGAGAAAGGGAUUUAAGGAAGGAUGUCAAGAAAGGCCAGGAUGAGAAUUAAAAACCAAGGAGCUGUUGGCACAGAGUCCCCAUCUCGACUUGCCAAUCCAUUCUGUGAAAGCAGAGAACUGGGAUCUUGUAAAAUCAUGGAAGGAAGAAAAGCUGCAACCAAAGUGGACUGGACCCUACCUUGUGUUAUUAAUCACCGAGACAGCAGUACGAACAAAAGAAAAAGGGUGGACACACGCAAACCGAUUUAAGGGUCCUGUGGAGGCCCCACCGGACAAUAUCAGCCCGUAGACUGUGCGUGAAGGGAAGGAACCAUUGACUUUGUGCCUAUUCGGAUGUUGUAUUAUUCCCUGCGCUGGCCUUCAGAACACAGUAUGACUAGCGAGAGGAGGAUAGGGAGGCGAAGAAUCUGCUGCUAGCACUAGAAAAGGAAGAUAUAGUAUAAUUCAAAAGAUGCGUAGCAAAAAGAAAAAUGGUGGAUUGUGAGAGAAGGGUUAAUAGGGAUGGUUAAAUUAUACUAGAACUCUGAAAAAUAUAACUUAGAAAGAAAUGAGCUUAUCCGCAGAAGCCAGACUGCUGGUAAAAUAAAGUAACAAUAUACAGAACAGAGAGAAAUUCUAGAUAAAAAGUAGCAAACAGAUAACAACUUCAGCAGAAGGCCUUGGGAGUCUUGACGUCAGGAAAUGGUCCGAGACAUUCCUGGACUUUCUCGUGUGAAUGUGGGCUUUAUGUUAUGAUUGGACGAAACUCGAUGGGGAGACCUGAGGUAGUGACCACAGUGAAGAAGGGUAUAAAGAUAGAAAGCAUCUCCAUUUUCUUUGUGCCUCCAGGGGACAUCAGAGGAGAGACACCUAUUCUGCAGAAUAUGAAAUUAAUAAAAACACUUCUUUGUCUGAA
Long non-coding RNA from Leucoraja erinaceus (little skate), 1998 nucleotides. RefSeq lists it as uncharacterized. Lineage: Eukaryota; Metazoa; Chordata; Chondrichthyes; Rajiformes; Rajidae. The record is from RefSeq and is a predicted model, not a curated record. The transcript is spliced from 2 exons.